This 364-nucleotide ribosomal RNA is filed under the name uncultured Sphingobacteriales bacterium. RNAcentral's name for it is "bacterial SSU rRNA". It matches the Rfam family "Bacterial small subunit ribosomal RNA", at positions 1019 to 1382 of the family's 1533-position model. The record is from RNAcentral. Lineage: Bacteria; Pseudomonadati; Bacteroidota; Sphingobacteriia; Sphingobacteriales.
GCCGAGGGACGGACUGCAAGGUGCUGCAUGGUUGUCGUCAGCUCGUGCCGUGAGGUGUCGGGUUAAGUCCCAUAACGAGCGCAACCCUCAUUGUUAGUUACCAGCGGAUCAUGCCGGGGACUCUAACAAGACUGCCACCGUAAGGUGAGAGGAAGGUGGGGAUGACGUCAAAUCAGCACGGCCCUUAUAUCCAGGGCUACACACGUGUUACAAUGGCCAGUACAAAGGGCAGCUACCUGGUGACAGGAUGCUAAUCUCCAAAACUGGUCUCAGUUCGGAUCGCAGGCUGCAACUCGCCUGCAUGAAGCCGGAAUCGCUAGUAAUCGCGGAUCAGCAUGCCGCGGUGAAUACGUUCCCGGGCCUU